RNAcentral lists this ribosomal RNA (358 nucleotides) under Chlorophyllum molybdites. RNAcentral's name for it is "partial 18S ribosomal RNA". The stretch from base 1 to 117 matches the Rfam family "5.8S ribosomal RNA", at positions 38 to 154 of the family's 154-position model. Lineage: Eukaryota; Fungi; Basidiomycota; Agaricomycetes; Agaricales; Agaricaceae. The record is from RNAcentral.
GAAGAACGCAGCGAAAUGCGAUAAGUAAUGUGAAUUGCAGAAUUCAGUGAAUCAUCGAAUCUUUGAACGCACCUUGCGCUCCUUGGUAUUCCGAGGAGCAUGCCUGUUUGAGUGUCAUUAAAUUCUCAACUCCUCCAGCUUUUGUUAAGUUGGCUUUGGAGCUUGGAUUCUGGAGGUUUGCUGGCCCUUGUAUUGACUGGGUUCAGCUCCUCUGAAAUACAUUAGCGGAACCGUUUGCAAUCCGCCACAGGUGUGAUAAUUAUCUACACCAGUGGGUUGCUCUCUGUGUUCGGCUGCCAAUCGUCUCUGCUUCAAGAGACAAUUUUCUGAAUGCUUGACCUCAAAUCAGGUAGGACUA